UACAGAGGCCUCGAGCGUUAGGCGGAAUCACUGGGCUUAAAGCGUGUGUAGGCGGACUUCUAAGUACCUUGUGAAAUCCCACGGCUCACCCGUGGAACUGCUCGGUAUACUGGUCGUCUUGAGCCUUCUAGGGGCGAGUGGAACAAAUGGUGGAGCGGUGAAAUGCGUAGAUAUCAUUUGGAACGCCAAUGGUGAAAACAACUCGCUGGGAAAGUGCUGACGCUGAGACACGAAAGCCAGGGGAGCGAACGGG
Molecule: ribosomal RNA, 253 nt
Filed under: uncultured bacterium
Lineage: Bacteria
Description: partial 16S ribosomal RNA
Rfam family: Bacterial small subunit ribosomal RNA
Source: RNAcentral